Molecule: ribosomal RNA, 442 nt
Filed under: uncultured bacterium
Lineage: Bacteria
Description: bacterial SSU rRNA
Rfam family: Bacterial small subunit ribosomal RNA
Source: RNAcentral
CCUACGGGGGGCUGCAGUAGGGAAUCUUCCGCAAUGGGCGCAAGCCUGACGGAGCGACGCCGCGUGAAGGAUGAAGGUUUUCGGAUUGUAAACUUCUUUGAUCGGGGACGAAAUUGACGGUACCCGAGGAACAAGCCACGGCCAACUACGUGCCAGCAGCCGCGGUAAUACGUAGGUGGCAAGCGUUGUCCGGAAUUACUGGGUGUAAAGGGCGUGUAGGCGGGAAGGCAAGUCAGAUGUGAAAGCCCAUGGCUUAACUGUGGAAUUGCAUCUGAAACUGUUUUUCUUGAGUGCUGGAGAGGAAAGUGGAAUUCCUAGUGUAGCGGUGAAAUGCGUAGAGAUUAGGAGGAACACCAGUGGCGAAGGCGGCUUUCUGGACAGUAACUGACGCUGAGGCGCGAAAGCGUGGGGAGCAAACAGGAUUAGAUACCCCUGUAGUCAC